Molecule: long non-coding RNA, 534 nt
Organism: Pseudoliparis swirei
Lineage: Eukaryota; Metazoa; Chordata; Actinopteri; Perciformes; Liparidae
Exons: 3
Source: RefSeq, a predicted model, not a curated record
CGUGUCCUCAGUUUGAGACCCAGACCAUCAACAUAUCCAGCCCCGAGGGCACCGGAGAUAAACAGGGACUGGGCUCCUUACCGGUGGCAGGUCGAGACGAGAAUGAUGUGAAGUCAAUUCGCUCUCAUCGUAUCAAGAUGGACAAUUCAGGCCAUCGUCUGAAGGAGUCGAUGGAGGAGUGCCAGGUGGAGGAGAUGUCUGUUCAUAAGGACAACCUCCAGGAAACUCACCUGCAACUGCACUCCCCCGAGUCUGACGGCAGAGACUCCAUCUUGGACAUCCCUGCCAGCUCCUGUUACUCCAAGAGCGCCAUGUGCUCUGUGUCAUGAGCCAAGCCGACGCCAGCUGACGCUGUAGCCAGUAAUUCAUUUGAAAAAGCUUUUUGAACACAAAACUUAGAACACGCCAGAUAGGAAUGCAGUUUUUUGCUCAUAUUUUGGCGUCCUUGUUGUGAUGCCAUGACAAUCUCUAAUGACGUAGUGUUUGUUCAUGGCCUAGUCUGUAAUGCUUGACAUUUCUAGUAGCUGUGCAUUG